CGACCUAUAGAGACAAUAACUCAACAACAUCAUAAUCUCAUGUUCAAGUAAGUAAAAAUAACAAUUUUUCUUUUUUAUUUGCCUACUGAUAUCCAUGGGGGUCUAUAGGGAUGUCCCACUACGUGUAAACCAACAUAUAACCUUAUCAAUUACUGGUCGUCCCCAUACCCCAUCUGGUAUGAGUGCCAAAAAUAUCAAUCAUUAAUAUCUCGUCUGCUAUGAGGGUAAAACGGGUCAUC
RNAcentral lists this long non-coding RNA (239 nucleotides) under Carica papaya (papaya). Its description in RNAcentral is "long non-coding RNA (CPAP_LNC008709)". The record is from RNAcentral. Lineage: Eukaryota; Viridiplantae; Streptophyta; Magnoliopsida; Brassicales; Caricaceae.